This 51-nucleotide ribosomal RNA is filed under the name Alternaria sp. cjl41112. RNAcentral describes it as "partial 28S ribosomal RNA". RNAcentral also lists the same sequence under 1 other name. The record is from RNAcentral. Lineage: Eukaryota; Fungi; Ascomycota; Dothideomycetes; Pleosporales; Pleosporaceae.
UUUUGACCUCGGAUCAGGUAGGGAUACCCGCUGAACUUAAGCAUAUCAAAA